CAAGGAUGAACUGCUAUCAUCCACCUUUUCAUCUACUUGAUUUGUGUAAUAACUGCAAGGAUGAACUGCUAUCAUCCACCUUUUCUAAAGAGUGAUGCAUUAUCGUAUGUCAAUCUAACAUUUAAGGGCCAGGGGAGCUGGGGUGACUGUGUACAUCUAUCAUGUAGGAUUACCCUUGACAAGGAAGAGUGGAUGGUAAACGUUCUCAAAUCAUCAAAUCUGGGACAAGUCUUGACGAGGGACUUUUCGCUCCUUUACGACUUGGAUCAAGAAGGGACUUCUUUGGGUUACUAUGUGCUUUUCCCAGUUCCGUGGACAUUCUGGUUCUAGAACAGUUCCGUGGACAUUCUGGUUCUAGAACAGUUCCGUGGACAUUCUGGUUCUAGAACAGUUCCGUGGACAUUCUGGUUCUAGAACAGAAUCGUGGACAUCAUGAUGUUCCACCCAUCGAAUUAGAACAGAGUAGAAUUCUAUUCAGUGCUCAUAACUGAACAACCGUGGCUUCACCAAUCUCCACACACUUAAAAUCUCCUCCAAUGCUUAUACCGUAUCAGUGUAGUCUGUCUAGACAGAUGGGUUGAGACUAGUAUCAGAGGGUUUAAGGAGUUUGGAUCAGGUUGCUCCUCAACAUCUAAUAAGACACUAUGUAGGAGUAAGGUCUCUAACCACAGAUCUAGGAUCAGAUUACCAGAACCCCCAGCACUAACCUUUACCAGUAGACUAAAGAAAGACAUCGGAUCCUGUAUCAGUUCUAGGAGGCAACUUCUACUAUGUCACACACAAGCAGACGUGGGGCAGCAACGUUUUGGAAAUUUCAGAUAGAAAUAUGCUCUGUGGCAUAUAGAACAAUGUUCCACGUCAGCUCUAUUCAUGGAAAUCCUAACUACAGCGUUCGACAACGGUCGGCUACUGAACGUGGACAAGCAGUUACUUAGCCUGAUGAAACCAGACAUAAUGAAGGGAAACAAAAGAGAAGCGCUGGGAAAUCAGUUGGAUACCAGACUAGCUGUUGCUCAUAAACAAUAUAACACGCAAGUAGACCAUCAAAUGUACAGCAUUACUGGGGUCGUAUUCAUUGGGCACCAAACGGAAGACAACAGACCGAAACAGAGAGGAAACUACCCUCUCUGUUUUGCAACGUUGUGCCCUAAUGAAUACGACCCAGGAUGAAUCUUUUCAUUUUACUCGAUGGUAUCUUUGAUUUGUCUUCUUCUCUUUAUCUCCAAGCUGUACAAUACCAUGUAUCUACUGUUCAUUCAAUUCAACAUCUACGGAACUUUCUGGGCCACUACUAUUCUAUCAAAACAACUUGAAAUGUACUAAAAAAAUAAAUACAAAAUGUGACCGGUAAAACACCA
This is a non-coding RNA of Salvelinus sp. IW2-2015, 1358 nucleotides long. The record is from RefSeq and is a predicted model, not a curated record. NCBI's taxonomy places the organism in Eukaryota, Metazoa, Chordata, Actinopteri, Salmoniformes, Salmonidae.